GACGGGAGGAGGGAAAAGGGACGGAGCGCAGGAGGGAAAGUCAGACAGGCUAAAAUCAGGGACAGAACUGGAACUCAAAAAAGACACAUUCACUCCAACUUCAUCCUGUGAACUCACAGAUCGUGCGGCUGAAUGGACAUGUUUAUUUACACUGGGUGUCUACAGGAGUGCUGAGGACUAAUAAUAGUUACUAAUGGAGCCAACUUUAACUCUUCACUCUGCUUCGGCUGCAUCAGAUAGAGAGCGCAGCGGUCUCGAGCGUCAUGACUGCGGCAGUGUGAGCAGUUUGGAAAGUAAUGGUAGUCUGCCCAGCGUCACCAACCAUUGUCGCUUCUCAGAGCGCCGU
RNAcentral lists this long non-coding RNA (346 nucleotides) under Sinocyclocheilus grahami. RNAcentral describes it as "lncRNA (ENSSGRG00000042249.1)". Lineage: Eukaryota; Metazoa; Chordata; Actinopteri; Cypriniformes; Cyprinidae. The record is from RNAcentral.